This is a long non-coding RNA of Populus nigra (black poplar), 417 nucleotides long. RefSeq lists it as uncharacterized. The record is from RefSeq and is a predicted model, not a curated record. Lineage: Eukaryota; Viridiplantae; Streptophyta; Magnoliopsida; Malpighiales; Salicaceae. The transcript has 2 exons.
CUUCUCACAGGACCCACGACUUCUCUUGUCACAAGCUUUAUUCAAUUAUUGAGCCGUGAAUUUGCAAUAUGUUGAUUGAGCCGAAUGUUCUACUACCCGACGGUCAGCAAAUGGGUAUUGCAUCUUUUUUGGUCAGAAUCUUAAUUCCUAGUGUGCAAAGAAGCAACCCACAAUCUCACGCUCCAACACUAAAGUUGAGUAUCAUGCUAUGGCAAAUACUGUAGUAGAACUUCCUUGGCUAAGCUUUAUCCUUAAAGACCUUCACAUCCCAGUAGCAUCUCUUUCGGUUCUCUAUUGUGACAAUCUUAGUUCUCUUCAUCUGACUGUUAAUCCGGUGUUCCAUGCUCGCAGUAAGCAUAUUGAAUUAGACCAUCACUUUAAAGUGAACGGGUUGCUCUUGGACAUCUUAUCACGAAA